GACGAACGCUGGCGGCGUGCUUAACACAUGCAAGUCGAACGGAAAGGCCCUGCUUUUGUGGGGUGCUCGAGUGGCGAACGGGUGAGUAACACGUGAGUAACCUGCCCUUGACUUUGGGAUAACUUCAGGAAACUGGGGCUAAUACCGGAUAGGAGCUCCUGCUGCAUGGUGGGGGUUGGAAAGUUUCGGCGGUUGGGGAUGGACUCGCGGCUUAUCAGCUUGUUGGUGGGGUAGUGGCUUACCAAGGCUUUGACGGGUAGCCGGCCUGAGAGGGUGACCGACCACAUUGGGACUGAGAUACGGCCCAGACUCCUACGGGAGGCAGCAGUGGGGAAUAUUGCACAAUGGGCGGAAGCCUGAUGCAGCAACGCCGCGUGCGGGAUGACGGCCUUCGGGUUGUAAACCGCUUUCGCCUGUGACGAAGCGUGAGUGAUGGUAAUGGGUAAAGAAGCACCGGCUAACUACGUG
Molecule: ribosomal RNA, 468 nt
Filed under: uncultured bacterium
Lineage: Bacteria
Description: partial 16S ribosomal RNA
Rfam family: Bacterial small subunit ribosomal RNA
Source: RNAcentral